GGACGAACGCUGGCGGCGUGCCUAAUACAUGCAAGUCGAACGCACUCUCGUUUAGAUUGAAGGAGCUUGCUCCUGAUUGAUAAACAUUUGAGUGAGUGGCGGACGGGUGAGUAACACGUGGGUAACCUGCCCUAAAGUGGGGGAUAACAUUUGGAAACAGAUGCUAAUACCGCAUAAAACCUAACACCGCAUGGUGUAGGGUUGAAAGAUGGUUUCGGCUAUCACUUUAGGAUGGACCCGCGGUGCAUUAGUUAGUUGGUGAGGUAAAGGCUCACCAAGACCGUGAUGCAUAG
This 293-nucleotide ribosomal RNA is filed under the name uncultured bacterium. RNAcentral's name for it is "partial 16S ribosomal RNA". It matches the Rfam family "Bacterial small subunit ribosomal RNA", at positions 27 to 286 of the family's 1533-position model. The record is from RNAcentral.